GUGAGCUGUAGGGAUAGGGUCGAUGAAGUCCCAUUCCCCAAAGUCAGAGACGUGAAUAAGUAGGUCCUACUUUAGAAAAAGGAUAUUUGGAUUCUUCAAGUCACCAUAUUUUAACUUCGCAGGACUUACCCAUUAUUCAGCCUUUGCCUUCCUCCGGCUCCAGCCAAGACGUAUGUUUAUCGUGCUAGAACAACUCGGACUGCGAAGGAACACAGCCAGAGCUAGAGCAGCCUCGGCACCUCCAGGGAACGUGUUAGAAAUGCAGAUUCUCAGGCCCCAGCCCAGACCUACUGAAUCAGAAGCUCUGAGAGUGCAGUCCAGCAAUCUGUGUUUCAACAAGCGCAUGGUGGCUCCGAUGCCUGAUAAAGUUUGAGAACCACCCGCACCAAAGAAUAAAGGACUAACAACCGUCACAUUAUGAAGUAUUGAAAUUGUGUAAACUGGGAAACAUGAAGAGAAACCAAGAGAUGCUACACUAUUUAUCGACGUAUUUAUAAAUAAUCUUGAUGGAUGUGAUUACUUGAAAAUAAACAAACCAAAGAAGACAAAUGUACAAGUUCAAAAAAGAAAAAUCAAAAAACCAAACAGAGGUGCCCUGCCCUGUGCAGUAGACGUUGAAUAUUGACCCCCUGGAAGAUCUUCCAUCCUGGGAGCUGACCAGCUGUGGUAGUGGUGGCGAUCUUGGAAUAUUAGGCUAUCGAUGAUUUACGAGGUCAUGACAAAACUCUAGUUUUUCAUAGGAUCAUUUUUAGUCAUUAUCUAAGACGGAUAGGGCAUCAGAGAACCAUUCCUUAAGUUCUCAUAACGUCCUCCCGAGCACAAUGAUGUCACCCACUUACACCGUUGGCUUGUCACAAUGCACUGAAAGGUAGACGUGGUGGCGGAGAUCCCAUGAAGCCCCCUCUCCGCUGGUAAAUCCUGCCGGAAGAUUAAAAGCAUUUUUCUCCCCACUGUCACGGCUUCGGGUUGGGGCAUUGCCAACCCACAAAAUGAACACGGUGAACGUCCAAUAAGCUAUGGAGCCGGAGCGGCUACACCCUGGCCUGCCUCUGCCCUGGUAUCGCAACUGACGAGAGUCAUUAUCGCAGGCUGAAAUUUGUCUCGCUUUGCUUUUCUCCCCUCACUCUGAGGCUUGGGAAGGGUGUGAGCUGUGCAAUCAGAUGAUGAUGCCACUAACACAAAUCUCUUCAACAGGAGCCUUCAGGUCAUUAAUCUCCAAUAAAGUAAUCUAUUUAGGACAUUGUUGAAAUGGCCUUGGGUCACUUUGCAUGAUGGCAUGAGGAUCCCCGGAGACGCACCCCACAUUAAAUUCAUGUGGAGGGAAUGGUUUCCCCUUGUCUCCGAGCUUCCCUCCUAACCUCUUCCAUUUCUGUAGUGUUGGAGAAUCCCACAAAUCUCAGUCAGCCAGACUCAGACUGUGCUGGUACCUCACAUGACGGCAGAAAAUGGGACAAGAACUCAGAACGUGUGUUGCCUGUGGCUGGAACCAUCAUCUCAUUGUCAACUUUCAUCUGCUAAGUGAAAGACGUGAGUUGGCAGGAAAAACAAUUACAGGGGAGUAGAAGCAAGCGAAGGAGCCAGCUACUGACAACACUCUCCCCUGGACCAAACUCUCGGCCUCGACCUUGGUGUCUGUCCUUGUUAGGCCUGAAUCACCCAGCUGUAGCAAGAAUCCUGUUGAGUUGGCUAAGUUACAAUCCCCCACCCUGGCUAUCUGAUCAAAUGUCCUUGUCCCGCCAUCUCCCAGGUAAUAUUGGGUCACCUUGGCUGCCUUCAGCAAGAAUCCCGUCAGGUCAGUUUGGCCAGAAUCCCCUCUCACCCACCUUCCCCUACAAAGAUUGCUUUGUUCUUUGUCUCUCAUACAUCUGCCCACAUAGGAGAAGAGGCUUUUUACUCAUCGUUGCUUCAAAAAGGGGCAGAGGUAGACUACCUUCCUUCUUAAAGCUGCAAAACAAUAAAGCUGACUCAAAGAUAACCUUAUCUUCAACCAUAGCCCAUCUUAAUUGGAAAAAAGUUUUUUGUUUUUGUUUUUGCUUGAAUGAUUCUAUUUCAAUGGAGGGCGGAGUGUGGGCAAAGUGGGCCAUGGUGAAUAUAAACCGAUUUCACUUUUUGGCUUGGCAUGAGAUACUGAGAAUCGGAAGAACAAAUAGAUACAUAUCCCAAACGUCAUGCAUGUAUUGCCAGUGGGCACGGCAGCUGACUGCUUUAUCCUCUGGUGAUUGUUUGAAAGCACGGUUUGGUUAACAAUCACUGCAGAUUCUAAGAAAUUACUUCUGGGAAUUCCGUACAAA
Molecule: long non-coding RNA, 2291 nt
Organism: Prionailurus viverrinus (fishing cat)
Lineage: Eukaryota; Metazoa; Chordata; Mammalia; Carnivora; Felidae
Exons: 7
Source: RefSeq, a predicted model, not a curated record